UGCUGCUAGACCUGCAGAACCGGAUGACCCCACUGUGACUGCUGCGAAAGCCACAGCGAAGGCCCUGUUGCCGGUCCCUGCCCAGCUGCUCGCCAUUGCCCCAGAGCUCGGGAUAAGAGAGCAGGAGCCCGAUGUGGUGAAACAAACACACAGAAAGGCAGUCUCCCGCAGUCCUUUGGAGUCUGUGAUAAGAGCAGGUCCAUCUCUUCCUAAAACAGGGUUUCCCCAGGUUUGAUCAACCCAAAUUUAAGACUUU
Gadus morhua (Atlantic cod) is the source of this 256-nucleotide long non-coding RNA. RefSeq lists it as uncharacterized. The record is from RefSeq and is a predicted model, not a curated record. The transcript has 3 exons. Lineage: Eukaryota; Metazoa; Chordata; Actinopteri; Gadiformes; Gadidae.